CCGCCCGUCACGUCAUGGAAGUGGAUGGUACCAGAAGCGGGUAGCUUAACUGCAAAGAGGGCGCUUGCCACGGUAUGAUUCAUGACUGGGACG
Molecule: ribosomal RNA, 93 nt
Filed under: uncultured bacterium
Lineage: Bacteria
Description: partial 16S ribosomal RNA
Rfam family: Bacterial small subunit ribosomal RNA
Source: RNAcentral